This 77-nucleotide transfer RNA is filed under the name Bathymodiolus platifrons methanotrophic gill symbiont. RNAcentral describes it as "tRNA-Val". It matches the Rfam family "tRNA". From Rfam's summary of the family: Transfer RNA (tRNA) molecules are approximately 80 nucleotides in length. RNAcentral also lists the same sequence under 10 other names. Lineage: Bacteria; Pseudomonadati; Pseudomonadota; Gammaproteobacteria. The record is from RNAcentral.
AGGCGCGUAGCUCAGUUGGUUAGAGCACCACCUUGACAUGGUGGGGGUCGGUGAUUCGAAUUCACUCGUGCCUACCA